GUUCCCACUGGUGACUCUGGAUAACUUUGUGCUGAUCGCAUGGCCUUACGUGCCGAUGUCUGCCCUAUCAAAUGUCGAUCGUUGCCCUUCACGGGAUUGUCGUUGCUACGUGCCUACCAUGUUGUAUCUCUGGGCUCGGGACAUGCCUAGGGGAAUCAGGGUUCGAUUCCGGAGAGGGAGCAUGAGAAACGGCUACCACAUACGUCAUCACGGCCCAAGGAAGGCAUGCCUACCUCAGGCGCUCAACUUACC
RNAcentral lists this ribosomal RNA (252 nucleotides) under Monacha obstructa. Its description in RNAcentral is "partial 18S ribosomal RNA". Lineage: Eukaryota; Metazoa; Mollusca; Gastropoda; Stylommatophora; Hygromiidae. The record is from RNAcentral.